UGAAAACUGCUUGAUCGUCCUAUAACUACCCACUUUCUUUGUAGUGGCCAUUUUGUCAUGAAACCGCCUUUUAACUGCUGCCAUUAUCUUUCAUCGUUCAACUGCCUUCGAUUGAAUUCCUUGAGUUGUGGAACGUGAUAAGGCUACUUUAACAACUGCCUUGAUAACUGCAUUCCUUGAUAACUACGAUGCGUUAUGUUUGUUGACACCUUGGGCGACUUGAAGGUUUGGGCGAGAGUAGAAUAACAGCUCUGGGCGACCGUAUGACACCCAUUCGUUCAGAUUCUGAGCGACUUGCAAACUUGGGCGAUGG
RNAcentral lists this long non-coding RNA (313 nucleotides) under Olea europaea (common olive). RNAcentral's name for it is "long non-coding RNA (OEUR_LNC008638)". The record is from RNAcentral. Lineage: Eukaryota; Viridiplantae; Streptophyta; Magnoliopsida; Lamiales; Oleaceae.